RNAcentral lists this transfer RNA (21 nucleotides) under Leichhardtia lloydii. RNAcentral's name for it is "Marsdenia lloydii partial tRNA-Phe". The record is from RNAcentral. Lineage: Eukaryota; Viridiplantae; Streptophyta; Magnoliopsida; Gentianales; Apocynaceae. RNAcentral also lists the same sequence under 1 other name.
GUCAGGAUAGCUCAGCUGGUA